GAAUCAUUCAGAGCUUCACACGCCUGCAGAGAAGAUGGAAAUGAAGAUGAACUGUGUGUGUUUGGUGCUGGGGCUGGUCCUGCUGAUGACCGUCUCCUCAGAUGCUCAGCCUUUUGCCCCUGGCCAUCCUCAACUGUGCUGUUUCAACUUUGUCACUUUUAAAAUUCCAGAACAAAAUAUCAUAAAAGUGGAAAAAACACAUUCCGACUGCCCAAAGCCCGGCUAUGUGAUUACAACGAAGAAGGCCAGAUUCUGCAAGAAGCACCUGCAAUAAAUCUAGAUUUCAGAGCUGCAGCUUCAACACAGCCCAGAUGCAGCAAACAGAGCAGCUAAAAGCUUUACACACCCCUUUAAUCAUCACAUGAUUUUAUCCAUCAGUGCUUUGCAUUUUUACUCAGUGUAUCAGUUCAAUUUUUGAUCAGCUUUUUAUCAUAUUAUCAGUGAUUGUUUAACUGUGGAAAUAAAACAAUUUAUGACAAAAAUCUCUUCAGAGAAAAAUAACAUCAUAAAGACAAAUUAGAGUUCGGUGCUCCAGCUUCUAUACAAUAUACUAUAUACAAUGUACAAUACAGCUUCUAUACAAUAUAGUGUCUUUACAAUAUUGUUAAUGCCUAUGUUAUGCUGUGAAU
This is a long non-coding RNA of Colossoma macropomum (tambaqui), 629 nucleotides long. RefSeq lists it as uncharacterized. Lineage: Eukaryota; Metazoa; Chordata; Actinopteri; Characiformes; Serrasalmidae. The record is from RefSeq and is a predicted model, not a curated record. The transcript is spliced from 3 exons.